GCAGGUGAGGGUUGCGCUGGUUCCUGCCUCUCGGGCAGGCGAAGAGGGAAUGCGACAGGCAGGGCCGGAAAGGUCCCGCCAAAGCGCAGCCGCCCCCGCGACCGUGACCGGAUAGGUCGCCCAGGCCACUGGCAAGAUGCCGGGAAGGUGGGUCGACCGUUGGGGAAACCCUGAAUCCGCAAGCCGGGAGACCUGCCAGCGCUGGUUGUUGACG
RNAcentral lists this non-coding RNA (214 nucleotides) under Paracoccus saliphilus. The record is from RNAcentral. Lineage: Bacteria; Pseudomonadati; Pseudomonadota; Alphaproteobacteria; Rhodobacterales; Paracoccaceae.